UACAGAGGGUGCGAGCGUUAAUCGGAUUUACUGGGCGUAAAGGGCGCGUAGGCGGUCGUAUGAGUGUGAUGUGAAAGCCCCGGGCUCAACCUGGGAAGUGCAUCGCAAACGAUACGACUGGAGUAUAUGAGAGGGUGGCGGAAUUUCCGGUGUAGCGGUGAAAUGCGUAGAGAUCGGAAGGAACGUCGAUGGCGAAGGCAGCCACCUGGCAUAAUACUGACGCUGAGGCGCGAAAGCGUGGGGAGCGAACAGG
This 253-nucleotide ribosomal RNA is filed under the name uncultured bacterium. Its description in RNAcentral is "partial 16S ribosomal RNA". It matches the Rfam family "Bacterial small subunit ribosomal RNA", at positions 524 to 776 of the family's 1533-position model. The record is from RNAcentral.